RNAcentral lists this ribosomal RNA (258 nucleotides) under Triticum aestivum (bread wheat). RNAcentral's name for it is "partial small subunit ribosomal RNA". The record is from RNAcentral. Lineage: Eukaryota; Viridiplantae; Streptophyta; Magnoliopsida; Poales; Poaceae.
CGCCUUAAAAACACAGAACACAGUGUGUUCUGCUGGGCGCUUGAUCAUGUUGCCAGAUUCCUAAGGCGUAACUUUGCUUACUCAUCUUUCUAUAGAGGAUACUUGGAAGAACCUUGUUUUUGGGUGGAGACAAACAAUACCACACUCAGCCUCCUCUAAUCAAAUGCCGAAGUUGCGUGGGGGUUCCUUCUGAUAAUAUCGUUGUUCUCGUAUGUUGCUCCAAUUUCUUCAGAAUUAUGUAGACUCUAUUUCGUCUGA